CCUACGGUGGCAGCAGUGGGGAAUAUUGCACAAUGGGCGCAAGCCUGAUGCAGCCAUGCCGCGUGUGUGAAGAAGGCCUUCGGGUUGUAAAGCACUUUCAGCGGGAAGGAAGGCGGUGAGGUUAAUAACCUCAUCGAUUGACGUUACCCGCAGAAGAAGCACCGGCUAACUCCGUGCCAGCAGCCGCGGUAAUACGGAGGGUGCAAGCGUUAAUCGGAAUUACUGGGCGUAAAGCGCACGCAGGCGGUCUGUCAAGUCGGAUGUGAAAUCCCCGGGCUCAACCUGGGAACUGCAUUCGAAACUGGCAGGCUAGAGUCUUGUAGAGGGGGGUAGAAUUCCAGGUGUAGCGGUGAAAUGCGUAGAGAUCUGGAGGAAUACCGGUGGCGAAGGCGGCCCCCUGGACAAAGACUGACGCUCAGGUGCGAAAGCGUGGGGAGCAAACAGGAUUAGAUACCCGGGUAGUC
This 464-nucleotide ribosomal RNA is filed under the name uncultured Klebsiella sp. RNAcentral's name for it is "bacterial SSU rRNA". It matches the Rfam family "Bacterial small subunit ribosomal RNA", at positions 338 to 795 of the family's 1533-position model. The record is from RNAcentral. Lineage: Bacteria; Pseudomonadati; Pseudomonadota; Gammaproteobacteria; Enterobacterales; Enterobacteriaceae.